This is a small nucleolar RNA of Nannospalax galili (Upper Galilee mountains blind mole rat), 119 nucleotides long. The record is from Ensembl. Lineage: Eukaryota; Metazoa; Chordata; Mammalia; Rodentia; Spalacidae.
UUACCAUCUUUCACUUUGCCAGUUACACUUAUGUCUUCAUUGGCCAUUCAAGUGGGACAAAGGAUUUAAAACACAGGCAGACUUGGUGUUUGUCUUGUAAACUGUCAGGGGAAACAUUG